Molecule: small nuclear RNA, 107 nt
Organism: Choloepus didactylus (southern two-toed sloth)
Lineage: Eukaryota; Metazoa; Chordata; Mammalia; Pilosa; Megalonychidae
Source: RefSeq, a predicted model, not a curated record
GUGCUCACUUCAGCAGCACAGACAUUAAAAUUUGAAUAAUAAACAAAAAAUUAUCAUGGUUUCUGAACAAGGAAGAUAUGCAAAUUCAUUAAGUGUUCCUUAUUUAA